RNAcentral lists this ribosomal RNA (449 nucleotides) under uncultured bacterium. RNAcentral's name for it is "partial 16S ribosomal RNA". It matches the Rfam family "Bacterial small subunit ribosomal RNA", at positions 29 to 523 of the family's 1533-position model. The record is from RNAcentral.
AACGAACGCUGGCGGCAGGCUUAACACAUGCAAGUCGAACGAGAUCUUUGGAUCUAGUGGCAGACGGGUGAGGAACACGUGGGAACAUCCCUUUCAGUUCGGAAUAACGUUGGGAAACUAACGCUAAUACCGGAUACGUCCUUCGGGAGAAAGAUUUAUCGCUGAAAGAUUGGCCCGCGUCUGAUUAGCUAGUUGGUGAGGUAACGGCUCACCAAGGCUACGAUCAGUAGCUGAUCUGAGAGGAUGAUCAGCCACAUUGGGACUGGGACACGGCCCAAACUCCUACGGGAGGCAGCAGUGGGGAAUAUUGGACAAUGGGCGCAAGCCUGAUCCAGCCAUGCCGCGUGAGUGAUGACGGCCUUCGGGUUGUAAAGCUCUUUUGUCCGGGAAGAUAAUGACUGUACCGGAAGAAUAAGCCCCGGCAAACUUCGUGCCAGCCGCCGCAGUAA